UUUCCAUUUCUUUGGGUCUAUUGUUUCAAGAGUCUGCUAGUCGUACUGAGAGAGUCAAGUGUCUAUUUAGAAUACUGUCCUUUCUGUCAGGCCUGUUACAUUUCCCCACAUUCUGUUUUCACACCAUAACCUUGAACUUGAAACAUGCUGGUGUCUGAAACAAGUAUAAUAGACAAGAUGAAAGUUUGGAGCCAAGGUGAAGACACAUUUUUACUUAAUGCCAGGCAGCCAUGUAUAAGAACCAUUAUUUAUUUAUUUAUUUAUUUAUUUAUUUAUUUAUUUAUAUGAGCGUUGACUCUGCCCCAUGCCAGCUGCAGUACUUGGGGGCACACUACCCAGGAAGCACAGUAGUGCUGGCCCUGGAUGCAUGAAUUGAGGGUGAGCCAGCAAGAGGGUGUAAGUGUGGGAGAGCUGGCCCAGCCACUCAUGUGGUAGCAUGAAUGAGGGAAAGAUGCCUACCUCACCCCCCUCACCACCUGCAGCAGGUGGAAGAACUGGCCCUGGGGUCAUGAGAGCAAGAGAGCUGUCUCUGCCCCUCAGUGUCUGCAGCACAUAGGACAGUGGGUGCUGUACCUCACCUGAGCAGCACAGUGUAGCUGACCCUGGUGUCAGGGGUGUGUGGGGGUCAGCCCCAAGGGCGGGAGCAUGGGAGAGCUGGCCCUGCAACUUGGAUGCUGUGCAGAGGCGAGAGAGAGAGAGAGAGAGAGAGAGAGAGAGAGAGAGAGAGAGAGAGAGCUCAUACUGCUCCUAACCCCCACCCCACCCCUAUCCCACUACAUCUAUGGCCAGGGUCAUGAGAGUGGGAGAACUGGUCCUAUCUCUCAUUGGCUGCAACACUUGGGAGAGGGGUCCUACACCUCACCUGUGCAACAAAGUAGAGCUGGCCCUGGUUGUAGAGGUUGGUGUGAAUCAGCUCGGAGGGCCUGAGAUGGGGAGAGCCCCAUCCAUAGCCCCUGCCCCUUGCUCGCUGCAGCAUUGGAUGACCUAGCCGAGGCUAGGAGAGCCCAUUCUCACCAGAAUGAAUAUGGGCGAGCUGGCAGGCUCAGUAGCUCAGAUGCUUCUCAGACCCAGAUCCAGGGUUGAGUUGGCCCCUACCUCAACAUCUACCCCAUCAAUAAACUGCUGGGGCAUGGGAAGGGGUUGGCCCUACAGAUCCAAAACUAUAGGAUCCCCAUGACAUAGGACAACAACAAGAUAUCCAAGAGGAGUCCCGAUGAGUCCCAAAAUUGAUAGUGUAGCAGAAGCCUGAGGCCUUGAAACAAACCAGUGACUCAUUGAAACUGACAUUUGCAAGCAAAGAAGUGUGGACAAAGAGUACACUGUGGGACACACUAUAGCUUCCACAAUGAUAUUUUUAUUUUAUUUUUGGGAGGGAGGAAGUUCUAAGAGUGGGGGGCAGGUAUGAGGAGCUGGGGAGAUGAAAGGGAUUGGAGUAAAAGGUGUGAAAUUCACAAAUAACCAAUAAAAAGUAAAAAGCAAAAUAGAAUAAAAUAAAAUGCUGUUUAUAGCCUACAGGAAGUCAUCAUAAUUUAUUGGGCAGAGAUUUCCCUAUCAAUUACCAUACAUAAAAUAAUGGCAUAUUAUCGGCACAUUACUAAUGAUGUCUUAAAUCCAGCAAAAUGUGGUAUUUAAAUUUUUGAUUCUAGACCCUCCUAGGAUUGAUAUAUUGAGAUGAAAAGAAAAAAGAAAAGUUGGAACGGUUAAUUUUUAAUAACCUUGUGGCUUUUUGUUGCUUUUGGAGGAGCUGGCACAGCAACUGCAUCUUGUUUCAAGACAGCAUCUCAUCAUGAAACCUAAGUUGUCCUAAAACUUAAGAUCCUCCGGCCUCAGCUUCCCUGGGAUUACAAACAAAUAACUACCAAGCCCAGCAUGACAACUCUCCCUUGUCUCUGAACAACAUUCUCUAAAGACAUCAGUGAUUUACCAUCCGGUGAUUUGUGCUCCAUUGUCCCAUUACACUAGGAAAAGGUAUUGAUCCUAGUUGGUCUGAUUUGAUCCCAUGUUAUGGGUGGGCAGGAGACAAGUGUCAAAAGUUCUUGCCAACAAACCACUUAGGUCUAGUUUGAAGCAGCUGGGGUAUAGAAGGAGUAGCUCUUAAGUCGGACACACUUGAAUUAUAUUCUGUUUGUCCUGUGGAUGAUGUUCUAGCAUUUCAAAAAUGGUGUUCAGGUUUCUUUAUCAGAAGCUAUGUUUCUGUGAACAUUGCUACUUAGUAUAGAGUAUUUACAAGUAUAUAUAUUGUAUUUCCUGCACUGAGUGGGGUUACUUAAACUCCUCAGCCUGUCCCAAGGCUAGGUCUGCUCUCCCCGUUCUCAGGUUGGCUCUGGCUAUAGCCAUGGACUCCUAACACCAUUAUCCUGUCUCCUUCAUGGAGACCCUCAGACUGCAGAGACUACACAGCACCGAGCAAUACCACCUAUUGAUAAUGUUGCAUGUAUUAUCCUAGCACACUUUCAACUCUGUGGCUUUUGCAUAAUACGACCUUUAGAUACAUGGCUAUAAAUGUUUUUAGUCACAGAUGCGUAGAGCAUUAAAUGUACUAAAAUCAGUUUAAAAUUGUUACUUAUAAAGCAGUCAUGUACAGGAAUAUGUCAACACACACUGAUUCUAAACUGACUCCUGAUUUUGUUAAAGCAGUUUACUGGGUGGCCAAAACACAAACAGACAAAAAACAUAAAACAAUCUUUUUGACAAAACAUAAAUCUUGUCUUAAGUUUGUCAUAAAAUGUUAUUCAGAGUAAAUAAUCUCUGUAAGAGCACCCUGUUGCUUUAAACAUAGGAAUUAGCUCCUAGUUUUCAUUGGUAUCUUUAUAUUAGGACACUAAAAAUUUUGACAUGGGUGUAUUUUAUUUUAUUUGUUCUUAAACUGUAGUUUUUAUAGUUGGGGUGAGGUAUUAAUUUCUUUAUUAUAUGUUUAGCAUUGCUCUAAAUGUGUGUUAAAGACAGACUAAACUUUAUAAAGAAAGGUCCUACUAUAUGAAUUAUAUUAUUAAGUUUAAAAUUGUCGGAAGAUCAUAGUUAGUCAUAUGUAUAUCACACUCUCUGAGGAACCCUUCCCCACUCCCUCCCUCUCUUCUUUUCCCUCCCUCCCUCCCUCCCUCCCUCAUUACUAUUAUAAAAAAUUAGAAGGAACUGUACGAUACUUCCAUGUCUCUGAGACCUUUAAACAACCAGGGACGCAUCUCACAUAAGGACUCACAUAGAUUAAUCAUAAUUUUCAGUAUGCAACAUUAGGCACUAGCCUCAGGUCAUGAGGAACUGAGUCAGGCUGUACCAGGCAGUAAGCCCUAGCCAUAAAUGGCUUAGCCUCAUCCUGACAGAUCAGUUCCACCUGCAGAAACAAUAUGACUGUGUAUCCAAACCACCCAGGCUGCUUCCAGCCAAGCCACAAAACAUGGAUGUAACUUCCUGGUUGUUACGUGUGUGUGUGUGUGUGUGUGUGUGUGUGAAUCCUUAGCCCCCACACACAGCCUCUCUAGUCUCCCUAAGCAUGCUCAAUCUUCAUCCCAUUGAGACCUCUCACUGUUCCAGUAAGGCAGUCUCAUCCUGUUGUGGCAGUCUGCCUUUCUCUGCCUCUGUUUGCCUUUUAACUUCCUCCAGGCAGAGAGCCCUCCUUUCCCCUUCCCUGGGGUCAUGCAUCUGGGAGCAUGGACACCCUCUAAGCUCACUAUACAGGUGAAAGAGCCACCUGUCUGAUGAAGACCUCUGGUCUUUUGUGGCCUCUGCCUCCAUGAGCAGUGCAAGUCUCGUGGUCAGAAGAUUCCAUUGUUGGGACUUUAUUGGUGCUUUGUGUAAACCCAAUUCGACCCCAGUGGCUUUUGCUCUCUUCCAAAAGAAGACAUCUUCCUCAUCCAUCUUCCUCUGACCCCUCCUCCCAGACUUUCUGACCUCCAGGCUGAGGGCCCUUGGUCCUUUAGAUGCUGACAUCCACAUCUAAGUUCUGCAGGACAAGGUGACUCAGUAGGCUCUGACUCAGAGGUGCCCAACCCGAGCCCAGAAGCUCCAGGAGUCUCACUCGUCCAGAUCAAAAAGUCUUAGAGGUCCCAGGAACCUCGCAAGUUUCUACUGAGUGUAUGGCUUCCCCAAACCUUGGGAGCUGAAGGACACUGACCUCCCAACUCUCAUUUUCUUCUUUCCCCAAAACCUAGGGUACUCCUCAAGUGAGUUUGGCAGAAAUUCCCAUUCUCUUUGGGUCCUAUUUCAAUCCUCUGAUAGAUUGAGAGGCACAAGUGUCUAUUUAGAAUAGACACUUCAUUUCUUCUGGGCAAAGAAGAAAAUUUUAUUUUAAGGGACAUGGAGAGGAAAAGGAAGCACAAAAAAAGUCACAAAAUAUAUACAUAAUAAACUGUAUAGUUCCUGAAAAUCAGCUUAGUUAUUAAUUUAAGUUGUCCUAAAUUAUCUUGCCUUUAAGGAGGCUUUUAUUUUCAAUUAAAUUUAUAACUAUUUGUAAUUAAACUUACAACUAAAUUUAAUUGCCAUAGAUAUAAGGCAUGUUCAUGCAACGUGACUUCAAUCAAUUUUCAAUUAUUUCUCCACAAAGCUUUAAGAAAAAAGACAAGGGGGCUUUGGAGUUUUAUAUACAGAUCUUGGCUUUUGUGAACUGGUAAGAUAAGAAAUACGCUUAUUUGAAUAAUUUUCAAGUUAUUGAAAUAAUGUGUGAGGGUUUUUUUCUUCUGAAAACAGAAUAGUUUUUGGUGAAAUACAUAUGUAGACAGAGCCAUUAAGCCAUACUUUGUCUUCUCUGUCUAAAAUCUUGAUGAAAUGUUCCCUGCUGCUAAAAAAUCAGAGUGUGCACUGAACAGCUAAGCUCUCUCCAUCAGUGAAUUAAAGACUCUUUUGUUGCAAUGUAAAUGCAGUAGUUUGCAGUGCUUUAAAAACUCUGUGAGCAAAAACUGGGUGACUUUACUACCUUGACAUUUCUGUGACAUUAAGUGCGGAACUAAACUCCCAAGUGAGGCCCAGAGCCACUUCCUGCAGAGGGGAGCAGGAACCCAGCCCUGCACUUCAGCUCACUUCAGAAUGGACAGCCAGAGAAGCAAGAUCUGGAGCAGUGCUUUGGAAGGUCAUGGUAGAGAGAAAAAUGUACAGCAGAUGACCAGGCCUGGUUUGUUUGGAUGUUAGACUGGAUCAUUUUGGAGCUAGGAUCAGUUUGAAGAAGAACUUUCUUCUCCCAGAAGCAGGAGGCGUUUCAAAGGAAAGAGAUGACCUUGGGACUGAGAAUUGGCAAUGUGCCAAUACCUGGCCACCACAUAGGAGUGGAGUGACAUUCUCACUGUGGCAUCUGCUGCUUGUACCAGAAUUCCAACCAUUAAAAGGAAUAUCAGAAUUGGAAAUGCUGCUACUGUGUUUGUUGGAACAUGAUCAGAAGAAUGGCGCAUGGUGAACAAGGCCUUGGGGAACUUAAAGAGGCUCCAGGAAAAAAGCAGAGGGCCUUUUACCUCAGAAUUGUCACGUAGCUGUCAUCAGAGAAGCUCCCGGUCGGUGGGAAUCAACGUGAGACCCACAACUUGACAAUUACGGAGACUGGGGAACUUUGGGACACUGGGUAGUCUUUAUUAAACCCCUUCCCUCGAUGCUCGGGGAUCUAUGCGGGAGAGGAGGAAGAAAGUCUGUAAGAGCCAGAGGUGAUGACUCACUGCAAGGAAAGUGUCUUCCAAGCACAGCAGGGCUGGUGCACAUAUGAACUCACAGAGACUGUGGCGGUAGCCACAAGACUCUCACAGGUUCUAACCAGGAAAAACGUUAUGACUGAAAAGGGAAGUGGACACAAAAUCCCAUCCUUUACCAGGAAGUGAUUUACAACUGAUACUUGCUGAGAAAGGGGAAAUCGGCUUUCUCCAGUGAAACGACACUGAGGAUAUCAGCCACACUCCAGGUAUUCUUCAUAAAGCCCAGGAGUAGUUAGGUAAUACAAAAUAGACUCUUAAAA
This is a long non-coding RNA of Mus musculus (house mouse), 5929 nucleotides long. RefSeq annotates it as predicted gene, 33105. The record is from RefSeq and is a predicted model, not a curated record. NCBI's taxonomy places the organism in Eukaryota, Metazoa, Chordata, Mammalia, Rodentia, Muridae. The transcript is spliced from 4 exons.